UACGUAGGGACCGAGCGUUGUCCGGAUUCAUUGGGCGUAAAGGGCGCGUAGGCGGCCUGUUAAGUCGAACGUGAAAUCCCCGGGCUCAACCCGGGAACUGCGUCCGAUACUGGCAGGCUUGAAUUCGGGAGAGGGAUGUGGAAUUCCAGGUGUAGCGGUGAAAUGCGUAGAUAUCUGGAGGAACACCGGUGGCGAAGGCGGCAUCCUGGACCGAUAUUGACGCUGAUGCGCGAAAGCCAGGGGAGCAAACGGG
RNAcentral lists this ribosomal RNA (253 nucleotides) under uncultured bacterium. Its description in RNAcentral is "partial 16S ribosomal RNA". It matches the Rfam family "Bacterial small subunit ribosomal RNA", at positions 524 to 776 of the family's 1533-position model. The record is from RNAcentral.